GACGAACGCUGGCGGCGUGCCUAAUACAUGCAAGUUGAGCGAUGAAGAUUGGUGCUUGCACCAAUUUGAAGAGCAGCGAACGGGUGAGUAACGCGUGGGGAAUCUGCCUUUGAGCGGGGGACAACAUUUGGAAACGAAUGCUAAUACCGCAUAAUAACUUUAAACAUAAGUUUUAAGUUUGAAAGAUGCAAUUGCAUCACUCAAAGAUGAUCCCGCGUUGUAUUAGCUAGUUGGUGAGGUAAAGGCUCACCAAGGCGAUGAUACAUAGCCGACCUGAGAGGGUGAUCGGCCACAGUGGGACUGAGACACGGCCCAAACUCCUACGGGAGGCAGCAGUAGGGAAUCUUCGGCAAUGGACGAAAGUCUGACCGAGCAACGCCGCGUGAGUGAAGAAGGGUUUCGGAUCGUAAAACUCUGUUGGUAGAGAAGAACGUUGGUGAGAGUGGAAAGCUCAUCAAGUGACGGUAACUACCCAGAAAGGGACGGCUAACUACGUG
RNAcentral lists this ribosomal RNA (497 nucleotides) under uncultured bacterium. RNAcentral's name for it is "partial 16S ribosomal RNA". It matches the Rfam family "Bacterial small subunit ribosomal RNA", at positions 28 to 507 of the family's 1533-position model. The record is from RNAcentral.